AUUGAACGCUGGCGGCAUGCCUUACACAUGCAAGUCGAACGGCAGCGCGGGAGCAAUCCUGGCGGCGAGUGGCGAACGGGUGAGUAAUAUAUCGGAACGUGUCCUGUAGCGGGGGAUAACCUAUUGAAAGAUGGACUAAUACCGCAUACGCUCUACGGAGGAAAGCGGGGGUCGCAAGACUUCGCACUACAGGAGCGCCCGAUAUCGGAUUAGCUAGUUGGCGGGGUAAAAGCCCACCAAGGCUACGAUCCGUAGCUGGUCUGAGAGGAUGAUCAGCCACACUGGAACUGAGACACGGUCCAGACUCUUACGGGAGGCACCAGUGGGGAAUUUUGGACAAUGGGCGCAACCCUGAUCCAGCCAUGCCGCGUGAGUGAAGAAGCCCUUCGGGUUGUAAAGCUCUUUCGCCAGGAACGAAAUGGUUCGUGCUAAUACCACGGACUGAUGACGGUCCCUGAAGAAGAAGCACCGGCUAAUUACGUGCCAGCAGCCGCGGUAAUACGUAGGGUGCAGGCGUUAUUCGGAAUUACUGGGCGUAAAGCGUGCGCAGGCGGUUUCUUAAGUCAGAUGUGAAAGCCCCGGGCUUACCCUGGGAACUGCGUUUGAAACUGGGAGACUUGAGUGUGGCAGAGGGGGGUGGAAUUCCACGUGUAGCAGUGAAAUGCGUAGAUAU
RNAcentral lists this ribosomal RNA (673 nucleotides) under uncultured bacterium. RNAcentral describes it as "bacterial SSU rRNA". It matches the Rfam family "Bacterial small subunit ribosomal RNA", at positions 28 to 697 of the family's 1533-position model. The record is from RNAcentral.